UACGAGCCACCCGAACGUUAUUCGGAAUUACUGGGCUUAAAGGGUGCGUAGGCGGUGCAGCAAGUCGGGAGUGAAAUACCUCAGCUUAACUGAGGAACUGCUUUCGAUACUGCUGUGCUUGAGUGAGACAGAGGUAAGCGGAACUUAGGGUGGAGCGGUGAAAUGCGUAGAUAUCUGGAGGAACACCGGUGGCGAAGGCGGCGUUCUGGACUGCAACUGACACUGAUGAACGAAAGCCAGGGGAGCAAACGGG
RNAcentral lists this ribosomal RNA (253 nucleotides) under uncultured bacterium. RNAcentral's name for it is "partial 16S ribosomal RNA". It matches the Rfam family "Bacterial small subunit ribosomal RNA", at positions 524 to 776 of the family's 1533-position model. The record is from RNAcentral.